CCUACGGGAGGCAGCAGUGGGGAAUCUUGCGCAAUGGGCGAAAGCCUGACGCAGCAACGCCGCGUGCGGGAAGAAGGCCUUCGGGUUGUAAACCGCUUUCAGCAGGAACGAAAAUGACGGUACCUGCAGAAGAAGGUGCGGCCAACUAUGUGCCAGCAGCCGCGGUGAUACAUAGGCACCAAGCGUUGUCCGGAUUUAUUGGGCGUAAAGAGCUCGUAGGCGGUUCAGUCAGUCGGGUGUGAAAACUCUGGGCUUAACCCAGAGCCUGCACCCGAUACUGCUGUGACUAGAGUUCGGUAGGGGAGCGGGGAAUUCCUGGUGUAGCGGUGAAAUGCGCAGAUAUCAGGAGGAACACCGAUGGCGAAGGCACCGCUCUGGGCCGAAACUGACGCUGAGGAGCGAAAGCAUGGGUAGCAAACAGGAUUAGAUACCCUGGUAGUCCAUGCCGUAAACGUUGGGCACUAGGUGUGGGUUCCAAUCAACGGAAUCCGCGCCGUCGCUAACGCAUUAAGUGCCCCGCUGGGGAUACGGUCGCAAGCAAAACUUAANGAAUUGACGG
This 559-nucleotide ribosomal RNA is filed under the name uncultured bacterium. Its description in RNAcentral is "bacterial SSU rRNA". It matches the Rfam family "Bacterial small subunit ribosomal RNA", at positions 338 to 916 of the family's 1533-position model. The record is from RNAcentral.